GGGAAUUGAAUUUUGCUUCGCACUACAAUCGAAGCUUAUCUCUGCAUCUUCAAUGGAGUCUGCAUUAUUUCAACGAGGACCCUGAUUAACUCCACAAAUUCACUUCAAUCUCUUCGAAGUUUGUCCGCCGUGGUGGUACAUCCAGUUCCGUACAUCUAUUGUUUAGGUUUGUGAUUUAUGUGUUUUAACUUUUAAGUGGGUAGAACCAUUUAACAAUUCCUUAUUUAUGAUUACCAAUUUAAUCCAACCCACUUAAGUAAAUGAAUAAUUUUACCCAUUAAAUCAUAGGUUUAAUGGAGGGGUUGAUGGGUUGGGUUCAAAAUUGCCAGUUCUAGUUAUAGUAGUAAGUAAUUCUUAUUAUGGUGUACUAUGUAGUCUACCGGUUCUAAGUAAUUGGCGUCUUAAAUAUGAACAAGAACAUAGGUACCUGAUUGCUUAACCUUUCUGUAAAACUCUAGCUCCCAAUCUGUGUUCCUCAAUAGAAAUACCUUUUCCCCCCGUUCUAUUGCUGCCCUUACAGUCAGUUUUGCUCUAUCGGCUACUUUACGGUAAGCACUCUUUUUUGCAGUUUUGAUAAUACCCAAAACCCAGCUAGUCUAUGUUCUCAAAAAA
This 612-nucleotide long non-coding RNA is filed under the name Panax ginseng (ginseng). RNAcentral's name for it is "long non-coding RNA (PGIN_LNC000035)". Lineage: Eukaryota; Viridiplantae; Streptophyta; Magnoliopsida; Apiales; Araliaceae. The record is from RNAcentral.